This 246-nucleotide ribosomal RNA is filed under the name uncultured bacterium. RNAcentral describes it as "partial 16S ribosomal RNA". It matches the Rfam family "Bacterial small subunit ribosomal RNA", at positions 57 to 305 of the family's 1533-position model. The record is from RNAcentral.
GCAAGUCGAGCGGUAACAGAGAGGUGCUUGCACCUUUGCUGACGAGCGGCGGACGGGUGAGUAAUGCUUGGGAACAUGCCUUGAGGUGGGGGACAACAGUUGGAAACGACUGCUAAUACCGCAUAAUGUCUACGGACCAAAGGGAGCUUCGGCUCUCGCCUUUAGAUUGGCCCAAGUGGGAUUAGCUAGUUGGUGAGGUAAUGGCUCACCAAGUCAAUGACGCCUAACUGGUUUGAGAGGAUGAUC